AGUAGGACACUCUUGCGAUGAGCAGUUUAAAAGAAAAGCUACACCUCGCUUGUCUUGGCCGAUCAUACAUCUCAUCGCCAAGACUAGUGUUUCUACCUAUGCAUGUAGUGAGGUUAAGCUUCUUUGAAGAUUUUAAGCUCCUAUAUCUUACGUUCCAUCAUUCGGAUAAGAACAAGACCAUCCUAGUAGUGAUCACUUUCUUUCCAAGAAUCAUCUAUGAGAACACCGAUAUUCAGAUCCCUUUUUCCCUAGAUCUCUAGAUGAGAGUGAAUAUCCGCCACCAUCGAUCCUAGAUUAUCAUCCGAAAUCUCUACCUGAGCUAACUCACAUGCUUGCUCCUCAUUUUCCGCUAGCCGCAAAAUCGCAAGUGGACUUUUAUCCACAUAAUUAUAAAUCUUAUCAUUUCUAGCUUUCCACAAUUACAAAAUGAUCCAUGGAAAUGAUAUGCAUGUGUAGACAUCAUAUGGUGUUAUUCAAAACAAGUAAUCAAUAUUUGCAUAAAGUGAGUCUGAAGAAAAACCUCUGGUGCCGUUGGGAUCUAUGAUAAAGCCCAUGUCUGAUAAAGCCCAUGUCUGGCGCGCUAGUGGGCAUUCAAAAAUAACAUGAUUGAUUGUCUCUUCUGGAUCUUCACAUCUAUCACAUCAUGUAUCACAUUUAAUACCGUUUCUUCGAAGCUUUGAUGUAACGGAGACACACCCAGCUAGAACUUGCCACAUAAA
RNAcentral lists this long non-coding RNA (719 nucleotides) under Arabidopsis lyrata. RNAcentral describes it as "long non-coding RNA (ALYR_LNC001727)". Lineage: Eukaryota; Viridiplantae; Streptophyta; Magnoliopsida; Brassicales; Brassicaceae. The record is from RNAcentral.